This 497-nucleotide ribosomal RNA is filed under the name uncultured bacterium. RNAcentral describes it as "partial 16S ribosomal RNA". It matches the Rfam family "Bacterial small subunit ribosomal RNA", at positions 28 to 507 of the family's 1533-position model. The record is from RNAcentral.
GAUGAACGCUGGCGGCGUGCCUAAUACAUGCAAGUCGAGCGAACGGACGAGAAGCUUGCUUCUCUGAUGUUAGCGGCGGACGGGUGAGUAACACGUGGAUAACCUACCUAUAAGACUGGGAUAACUUCGGGAAACCGGAGCUAAUACCGGAUGAUAUUUUGAACCGCAUGGUUCAAAAGUGAAAGACGGUCUUGCUGUCACUUAUAGAUGGAUCCGCGCUGCAUUAGCUAGUUGGUAAGGUAACGGCUUACCAAGGCAACGAUGCAUAGCCGACCUGAGAGGGUGAUCGGCCACACUGGAACUGAGACACGGUCCAGACUCCUACGGGAGGCAGCAGUAGGGAAUCUUCCACAAUGGGCGAAAGCCUGACGGAGCAACGCCGCGUGAGUGAUGAAGGUCUUCGGAUCGUAAAACUCUGUUAUUAGGGAAGAACAUAUGUGUAAGUAACUGUGCACAUCUUGACGGUACCUAAUCAGAAAGCCACGGCUAACUACGUG